AUGCCAUCCGAUAACUUCAUGGCCUUUAUUUCCAUCUUAUUGGCUGCUGUUGAGUCACGAGUCUUUGAGUAUGCUCAGCGCGUGCCAUCAUGGGGCCAUGUUCUUCCCCUUUGCUCUUGGAGAAUAGACAAAGCUACCCAGCCCAGCCACAGCCUCAUAAUCUUGUUCUACCUCCCUCUCCAGCCUCAAAUAUUUCCAGGCUCCAGCUCAAGUCAUACAUCAGCCCAGCUGCCAAUGUUGCUGACCAGCAAGCCCUCAGCCUACAAGGUCUCCAUCCAGGUGCCUUUUGAUGAGGUUCCAGCUUUCAGAAAAAAAAUGACCUUGAAGGCCAGGAUGACAGGAACAAAUUCCAAAGCUAAUGGAUGACCCUUGAGUCCUCCACUGGCCAGAGAAAGGGACUCUCAGAGCCUUAAUUUAAUAGCUCCAGCUUGCAUUCACUAAAGCCUCAAGCAGCUACAACAGAUGUCUCAAGAUUUCCAAAAAGAGCUGUUGGUAAAUCUGAUCUAUCCACUGACGUAAUUAUGCUCAUUCUAGCAAAGAAAAACAUAUAUUUGUUUCAAAGAACGUCCAUCAGGGAGUGUGCAGC
This 586-nucleotide long non-coding RNA is filed under the name Pan troglodytes (chimpanzee). Its description in RNAcentral is "lncRNA (ENSPTRG00000054307.1)". The record is from RNAcentral. Lineage: Eukaryota; Metazoa; Chordata; Mammalia; Primates; Hominidae.